RNAcentral lists this ribosomal RNA (340 nucleotides) under uncultured bacterium. Its description in RNAcentral is "bacterial SSU rRNA". It matches the Rfam family "Bacterial small subunit ribosomal RNA", at positions 43 to 382 of the family's 1533-position model. The record is from RNAcentral.
UCAGGCCUAACACAUGCAAGUCGAACGGCAGCACGGGUGCUUGCACCUGGUGGCGAGUGGCGAACGGGUGAGUAAUACAUCGGAACGUACCUUAUCGUGGGGGAUAACGCAGCGAAAGCUGUGCUAAUACCGCAUACGCCCUGAGGGGGAAAGCGGGGGAUCGCAAGACCUCGCGCGAUUAGAGCGGCCGAUGCCUGAUUAGCUAGUUGGUGGGGUAAAAGCCCACCAAGGUGUCGAUCAGUAGCUGGUCUGAGAGGACGAUCAGCCACACUGGGACUGAGACACGGCCCAGACUCCUACGGGAGGCAGCAGUGGGGAAUUUUGGACAAUGGGGGCAACC